UAAGCAUAUCAAUAAGCGGAGGAAAAGAAACCAACAGGGAUUGGCCCCAGUAACGGCGAGUGAAGCGGCAACAGCUCAAAUUUGAAAUCUGGCCCUCGCGGUCCGAGUUGUAAUUUGUAGAGGAUGCUUUUGGUGCGGUGCCUUCCGAGUUCCCUGGAACGGGACGCCAUAGAGGGUGAGAGCCCCGUCUGGUUGGAUGCCAAACCUCUGUAAAGCUCCUUCGACGAGUCGAGUAGUUUGGGAAUGCUGCUCAAAAUGGGAGGUAUAUGUCUUCUAAAGCUAAAUACCGGCCAGAGACCGAUAGCGCACAAGUAGAGUGAUCGAAAGAUGAAAAGCACUUUGAAAAGAGGGUUAAAUAGUACGUGAAAUUGUUGAAAGGGAAGCGUUUGUGACCAGACUUGGGCUCGGUGAAUCAUCCGGCGUUCUCGCCGGUGCACUUCGCCGGUCCAGGCCAGCAUCGGUUCGCUCGCGGGGGAUAAAGGCGUCGGGAAUGUGGCUCCUCGGAGUGUUAUAGCCCUUCGCACAAUACCCUGCGGUGGACCGAGGUUCGCGCAUCUGCAAGGAUGCUGGCGUAAUGGUCAUCAACGACCCGUCUUGAAACACGGACCAAGGAGUCGUCUUCGUAUGCGAGUGUUCGGGUGUCAAACCCCUACGCGUAAUGAAAGUGAACGGAGGUGAGAGCUACGGCGCAUCAUCGACCGAUCCUGAUGUUCUCGGAUGGAUUUGAGUAAGAGCAUACGGGGCCGGACCCGAAAGAAGGUGAACUAUGCCUGUAUAGGGUGAAGCCAGAGGAAACUCUGGUGGAGGCUCGCAGCGGUUCUGACGUGCAAAUCGAUCGUCAAAUAUGGGCAUGGGGGCGAAAGACUAAUCGAACCUUCUAGUAGCUGGUUUCCGCCAAU
RNAcentral lists this ribosomal RNA (899 nucleotides) under Selinia pulchra. RNAcentral's name for it is "LSU rRNA". It matches the Rfam family "Eukaryotic large subunit ribosomal RNA", at positions 35 to 965 of the family's 3401-position model. The record is from RNAcentral. Lineage: Eukaryota; Fungi; Ascomycota; Sordariomycetes; Hypocreales; Bionectriaceae.